GAUCAAGCUAGAAAGGGUGUACGUGAGGAUGCCUAGGCACCAAGAGCCGACGAAGGACGUGGCUAAGCUGCGAAAAGCCCCGGGUAGACGCAAGCAGUCGAAGAUCCGGGGAUGUCCAAGAUUCGGAAACGACACGAGGUAACCCCUCGUGAGCCGUGCAUGAAUCCAUAGUGUACGGUAGGGAACGCAGGGAACUGACCCAUCUAAGUACCUGCAGGAAAGGAAAGAGACAUCGACUCCCCCAGUAGAGGCGAUCGAAAAGGGAAGAGCCCAAACCAUUCGUGUGUGAUAGCCCGCAGGCGUUGCACGAGUGGUGUUGUGAGAGCCGGGCGCACGGUUGCGGACGUGCGACGGAGUUACCAAGGCAAUUUUUAGACGAGCUGGCUGGAAAGCCGGGCCACAGAAGGUGAUAGCCCUGUAGUCGAAAGGAAUUGCCCUCCGCCGGAGUUCUCGAGUAGCGCCCGUCCCGUGGAACCGGGCGUGAAUCAGCGCGGCCCACCGCGCAAGGCUAAGUACUACUUGGUGACCGAUAGUGAAGAGUAGCGCGAGCGAAAGGUGAAAAGAACCCCUGUUAGGGGAGUGAAAUAGAACCUGAAACCGUAUACCUACCAGCGGUCGGAGCCCCAUUGACGGGGUGACGGCGUGCCUUUUGCAUAAUGACCCGGCGAGUUGGCGUACGCGGCAAGGUUAAGGGUUUAUGGCCCGAAGCCGAAGCGAAAGCGAGUGCGAAAUGUGCGACUAUUAGUCGAGUGCGCCAGACCCGAAACCAGGUGAUCUAGCCAUGGGCAGGAUGAAGCGGAUGUAACAGUUCGUGGAGGUCCGAACCGGUGAAUGUUGAAAAAUUCUCGGAUGACUUGUGGCUAGGGGUAAAAGAUCAAUCAAACCUGGAGAUAGCUGGUUCUCCCCGAAAUAGCUUUAGGGCUAGCCUCAGGAGUUUUCCCACGGGGGUAGAGCGACUGUUCAGGUCGAGGGGGUGCAUAACCUACCUCACCCAGACAAACUCCGAAUACCGUGGGUAAUUAUCCUGGGAGUCAGACUACGAGGGAUAAGCUUCGUGGUCAAAAGGGAAACAGCCCAGAUUGGCAGCUAAGGCCCCCAAUUCGUGCUAAGUGUACAUAAGGAAGUGGGGUUGCAUAGACAGCUAGGAUGUUGGCUUAGAAGCAGCCAUCAUUUAAAAAGUGCGUAAUAGCUUACUAGUCGAGCAACUCUGCGCCGAAAAUGAACGGGACUAAGCACGGAGCCGAAGCUCCAGACUGCACACGAAGACGUGUGCAUUGGUAGGGGAGCGUUGGACGAGCGGUUGAAGCCAGACGGUAACGACUGGUGGACGUGGUCCAAGUGAUUAUGCCGGGAUGAGUAGCGAUAAAGAAGGUGAGAAUCCUUCUCGCCGUAAGCCUAAGGUUUCCUGGGCAAGGUAAGUCCGCCCAGGGUUAGUCGGUCCCUAAGACGAGGCUGAAAGGCGUAGUCGAUGGGAAGCAGGUCAACAUUCCUGCACCACUGUUAGCGUUGAACGAGGAGUGACGGCGGGUAGAAGGUUGUCCGGCUGUUAGAUGCCGGUUCUUGGUUUGGGGUGGCUGAUAGGAAAAUCCGUCAGCGGAAUCUCCGGGCCGAGAGGAGUCCCAGAGGCGAACCAACUGGAAGUCCGUCCAAGAAAACCUUCGCGGGAGCGAAGCAGUGACCGUACCAAAUCUGACACAGGAGGGCGAGGCGAAUAGCCUCAGGCGCUCGAGAGAACCCUACGUGAAGGAACUCGGCAAAUUAACCCCGUAAGUUAGCGAUAAGGGGUGCCUCCGCAAGGAGGUCACAGUAAAUCGACAGCUGCGACUGUUUACUAAAAACACAGGUCUCUGCAAAGUCGUCAAAGACGACGUAUAGAGACUGACGCUUGCCCGCUGUUGGAACGUUAAGGUGACUGGUUAGCCGCAAGGCGAAGCUGGGAGCCGAAGCGCCAAUGAAGGGCGGCCGUAACUAUGACGGUCCUAAGGUAGCGAAAUUCCUUGUCGGGUAAGUUCCGACCCGCACGAAUAGCGUAACGACAGCUGUACUGUCUCCACGAGGGACUCGGCGAAAUUGUAGCUGUGGUGAAGAUGCCACAUACCCGCACCAAGACGGAAAGACCCCGUGAACCUUUACUGUAACCUAAUACUGGCUCUAGGUUCGCCAUGUGUAGCAUAGGUGGGAGACGUUGAUGUCGGGGGCGCCAGCCUCCGAAUAGUCAUCAGUGAAAUACCACUCUUGGCGUAUUUGGAUUCUAACCUGCGACCGUGAUCCGGCGUGGGGACAGUGUUAGGCGGGCAGUUUGACUGGGGCGGUCUCCUCCAAAAAGGUAACGGAGGAGCACAAAGGUACCCUCAAUGCGGUUGGCAAUCGCAUGUAGAGCGUAAAAGUAUAAGGGUGCUUGACUGCGAGACACAUAGGUCGAGCAGGUACGAAAGUAGGUUUUAGUGAUCCGGUGGUCCCGUGUGGAAGGGCCAUCGCUCAUCAGAUAAAAGGUACUCCGGGGAUAACAGGCUGAUCACGCCCAAGAGUCCAUAUCGACGGCGUGGUUUGGCACCUCGAUGUCGGCUCAUCGCAUCCUGGGGCUGAAGGCGGUCCCAAGGGUUGGUCUGUUCGCCCAUUAAAGCGGUACGUGAGCUGGGUUUAGACCGUCGUGAGACAGGUCGGUCCCUAUCUGGUGUGGGCGCAGGAUGAUUGAGGAGACUCUUUCCUAGUACGAGAGGAUUGGAAAGAACGAACCUCUGGUGUGCCAGUUGUCGCGCUAGCGGCAUCGCUGGAUAGCUAUGUUCGGAUCGGAUAAGCGCUGAAAGCAUCUAAGUGCGAAGCCAACUCCAAGACCAGUCAUCCCUCGAGACACCUGGUAGACCACCAGGUUGAUAGGCCGGCGGUGUAAGGGCGGUAACGUCCUCAGCCAACCGGUACUAACCAGUCGACAGGCUUGAUCUCACUCU
RNAcentral lists this ribosomal RNA (2948 nucleotides) under Planctomycetota bacterium. RNAcentral's name for it is "Planctomycetes bacterium (activated sludge metagenome) 23S ribosomal RNA". It matches the Rfam family "Bacterial large subunit ribosomal RNA". The record is from RNAcentral. Lineage: Bacteria; Pseudomonadati; Planctomycetota.